AUUGAACGCUGGCGGCAGGCUUAACACAUGCAAGUCGAGCGAGCGGCGGACGGGUGAGUAAUGUCUGGGAAACUGCCUGAUGGAGGGGGAUAACUACUGGAACCCGUAGCUACUACCGCAUACCCUCAGAUGUGCCCAGAUGGGAUUAGCUAGUCGGUGGGGUAAUGGCUCACCUAGGCGAAGAUCCCUAGCUGGUCUGAGAGGCUGACCAGCCACACUGGAACUGAGACACGGUCCAGACGCCUACGGGAGGCAGCAGUGGGGAAUAUUGCACAAUGGGCGCAAGCCUGAUGCAGCCAUGCCGCGUGUGUGAAGAAGGCAUUCGGGUUGUAAAGCACUGUCAGCGAGGAGGCGUUACUCGCAGAGGAAGCACCGGCUAACUCCGUGCCAGCCGCCGCGGUAAUAC
This 406-nucleotide ribosomal RNA is filed under the name uncultured bacterium. RNAcentral describes it as "partial 16S ribosomal RNA". It matches the Rfam family "Bacterial small subunit ribosomal RNA", at positions 30 to 526 of the family's 1533-position model. The record is from RNAcentral.